Molecule: ribosomal RNA, 562 nt
Filed under: uncultured Bifidobacterium sp.
Lineage: Bacteria; Bacillati; Actinomycetota; Actinomycetes; Bifidobacteriales; Bifidobacteriaceae
Description: bacterial SSU rRNA
Rfam family: Bacterial small subunit ribosomal RNA
Source: RNAcentral
CUCCUGGAAACGGGUGGUAAUGCCGGAUGUUCCACAUGAGCGCAUGCGAGUGUGGGAAAGGCUUUUUGCGGCAUGGGAUGGGGUCGCGUCCUAUCAGCUUGUUGGUGGGGUAACGGCCUACCAAGGCGUUGACGGGUAGCCGGCCUGAGAGGGCGACCGGCCACAUUGGGACUGAGAUACGGCCCAGACUCCUACGGGAGGCAGCAGUGGGGAAUAUUGCACAAUGGGCGCAAGCCUGAUGCAGCGACGCCGCGUGCGGGAUGGAGGCCUUCGGGUUGUAAACCGCUUUUGUUCAAGGGCAAGGCACGGUUUCGGCCGUGUUGAGUGGAUUGUUCGAAUAAGCACCGGCUAACUACGUGCCGGCAGCCGCGGUAAUACGUAGGGUGCAAGCGUUAUCCGGAUUUAUUGGGCGUAAAGGGCUCGUAGGCGGUUCGUCGCGUCCGGUGUGAAAGUCCAUCGCUUAACGGUGGAUCCGCGCCGGGUACGGGCGGGCUUGAGUGCGGUAGGGGAGACUGGAAUUCCCGGUGUAACGGUGGAAUGUGUAGAUAUCGGGAAGAACACC